AAAAAUACAAAGAAAAAAUACAAAGAAAAAAAAUCAGAGGAGAACUCAGAAAUCAAAAGAAACAAAGCAAGAGUUGAAUUGAUCUACACUCUGUUAUCAAAGCUGCGGAAUUUUUGUUUUAAAGAAACUUCUUACGUGCCAAACAUACACGGAUAAAGAAGGUAUCAGGCAGCAGCAGUUGUUGGCAUUUAUCCCAAGACAUCACAAGCACUACAUUUUACCGAAUUCUGUCAGCAAGAAAGUACAUUUUAGUCCCCAAUUACAGAUAGAUCCUAGGCAAAAUUAUCUCCAUGCUAAAUCUUGUCUUCAGCCUUCAGGUAUAGUGUUUCUUAGCAAGUAGGAACUCUUCUAUGUUAGUUGUUUUCUGCAUUGUUGUGAUAUAAUUUCUUAAAGGAAGAAGGUAAA
Gossypium raimondii (Peruvian cotton) is the source of this 405-nucleotide long non-coding RNA. RefSeq lists it as uncharacterized. Lineage: Eukaryota; Viridiplantae; Streptophyta; Magnoliopsida; Malvales; Malvaceae. The record is from RefSeq and is a predicted model, not a curated record. The transcript is spliced from 3 exons.